AACGCUGGCGGCGUGGCUAAGGCAUGCAAGUCGGACGGACCUUUCUCAUUGGGUAACCGAAGGGAAAGGUUAGUGGCGGACGGGUGAGUAAUACGUGGGUAACGUACCUCGAGCAUGGGGAUAGCGGCGUUCCUUCGGGAACUUUAGCGAAAGUGCCGGUAAUGCCCAAUGACAUCGGAUGGUCGCAUGGCCGACCGAUCAAAGGAUGGGGAUCCUUCGGGACCUAUUGGCUCGGGAGCGACCCACGGCCUAUCAGCUUGUUGGUGAGGUAACGGCUCACCAAGGCAUCGACGGGUAGCGGGCGUGAGAGCGUGGCCCGCCACAUCGGGACUGAGACACUGCCCGGACACCUACGGGUGGCUGCAGCAACGAAUAAUCCGCAAUGGGCGCAAGCCUGACGGUGCGACGCCGCGUGCAGGAUGAAGCCUUUCGGGGCGUAAACUGCUGUCGAGGGUAGGCAAGCAAUGGACUCUAACAGAGUCCGGCGCUGAGCCGCCCCCAAGGAAGCCUCGGCUAACUCCGUGCCAGCAGCCGCGGUAAUACGGAGGAGGCAAGCGUUGUUCGGAAUUAUUGGGCUUAAAGAGCGUGUAGGCGGGCCGGUCAGUGUCGAGUGAAAGCCCUCGGCUCAACCGAGGAAUGGCUCGGCAUACUGCCGGUCUUGAGGCAGGUAGGGGCGGGUGGAACUCUAGGUGGAGCGGUGAAAUGCGUAGAUAUCUAGAGGAACGCCGGUGGCGAAAGCGACCCGCUGGGCCUGUUCUGACGCUGAGACGCGAAAGCGUAGGGAGCAAACGGGAUUAGAUACCCCGGUAGUCUACGCCGUAAACGAUGCGCACUAGGUUCGAGGACUUCUGACGGUGCUCGGGCCGAAGCAAAAGUGUUAAGUGCGCCGCCUGGGGAGUACGGCCGCAAGGCUGAAACUCAAAGGAAUUGACGGGGGCUCACACAAGCGGUGGAGCAUGUGGAUCAAUUCGAAGCAACGCGAAGAACCUUACCUGGGUUUGACAUGCUUGGAUGCCCUCUGGGAAACCGGAGUAAGCUGCCUUCGGGUGAAAUUUGCACAGGUGCUGCAUGGCUGUCGUCAGCUCGUGCUGUGAAGUGUCGGGUUAAGUCCCUUAACGAGCGAAACCCUUGUCGCUAGUUGCCAGCGGGUCAUGCCGGGGACUCUAGCGAGACUGCCGGGUCAAACCGGAGGAAGGUGGGGAUGACGUCAAGUCCUCAUGGCCUUUACACCCAGGGUUUCGCACGUGCUACAAUG
Molecule: ribosomal RNA, 1255 nt
Filed under: uncultured bacterium
Lineage: Bacteria
Description: bacterial SSU rRNA
Rfam family: Bacterial small subunit ribosomal RNA
Source: RNAcentral